Molecule: small RNA, 29 nt
Filed under: Bombyx mori (domestic silkworm)
Lineage: Eukaryota; Metazoa; Arthropoda; Insecta; Lepidoptera; Bombycidae
Description: ovarian small RNA-7184
Source: RNAcentral
UCCAGGAAAACAAUAUCUCUGUUAAUUUC